ACGCUUCCUCUCUUUACACAACUAGUGUUUACCUUCACGCUUCCUUUCUCAGUUUUUCUCCCUACGAAAAUUAGGGUUUCCCCUACACGCUUCCUCUCUCUGUCAUUCUUCCUGCGAAAACUAGGGUUACUCCUAUACGCUUCCAUGGCAUCUCUCUCUGUCAUUCUUCCUGCGAAAACUAGGGUUUCUCCUACACGCU
Molecule: long non-coding RNA, 199 nt
Filed under: Amborella trichopoda
Lineage: Eukaryota; Viridiplantae; Streptophyta; Magnoliopsida; Amborellales; Amborellaceae
Description: long non-coding RNA (ATRI_LNC002367)
Source: RNAcentral